RNAcentral lists this ribosomal RNA (581 nucleotides) under Hyalomma dromedarii. RNAcentral's name for it is "SSU rRNA". It matches the Rfam family "Eukaryotic small subunit ribosomal RNA", at positions 6 to 578 of the family's 1831-position model. The record is from RNAcentral. Lineage: Eukaryota; Metazoa; Arthropoda; Arachnida; Ixodida; Ixodidae.
GGUUGAUCCUGCCAGUAAUCAUAUGCUUGUCUCAAAGAUUAAGCCAUGCAUGUCUAAGUACAUGCCGAAAUAAGGCGAAACCGCGAAUGGCUCAUUAAAUCAGUUAUGGUUCCUUAGAUCGUUUCUUCCUACUUGGAUAACUGUGGCAAUUCUAGAGCUAAUACAUGCAGUGAGCCUGGAACCCUUUGGGUUUACGGGUGCUUUUAUUAGACCAAGAUCGAUCGGGUUUCGGCCCGUAUUGUGUGGUGACUCUGGAUAACUUUGUGCUGAUCGCAUGGCCAUGAGCCGGCGACGUUUCUUUCAAGUGUCUGCCUUAUCAACUUUCGAUGGUAGGUUACUUGCUUACCAUGGUUGUUACGGGUAACGGAGAAUCAGGGUUCGAUUCCGGAGAGGGAGCCUGAGAAACGGCUACCACAUCCAAGGAAGGCAGCAGGCGCGCAAAUUACCCACUCCCGGCACGGGGAGGUAGUGACGAAAAAUAACAAUACGGGACUCUUUUGAGGCCCCGUAAUUGAAAUGAGUACACUCUAAAUCCUUUAACGAGGAUCAAUUGGAGGGCAAGUCUGGUGCCAGCAGCCGCG